CUUCAAAGAAAGCCCCCCCAGCCCCCGCUGCUGCUGGAGAAAAGAGAAGGGUGGGUGGGUGGGAGAAGCGAACAAAAACUCAAGUAGCUAGAGAGAGAAAGCAAAGGCAGCAGGCUCAGCUAGCUCCGUGUGAGUGAGUGAGUGAGGUAUAGAGAGAGAGAGAGAGUGAGGAAGGGAAGCCAUUGUUGCAGUUGCACAGGAAAGAAAGAAGGAAGGAAGGAACGAGCGGGAGUGGAAAAGUUGGUGAGUGAAACUUACCCACUGCUGCAGCUAGCUGCUCCCACUUCCUCGCUGCGUCGUCCUCCCUCACGCACCUCGCCUCGUCUCCCGCCUCCUGGCUCCGGCACGCGUACCAUCUCCUCUCGGUCUAAAGCGGUGGAGGAGGAGGAGGAGGAUGAUGGAGGAGAGAGCGGGCGAGCCGUCGGAGGUGGAGGAGCAGGGCUGCGCAGCGAGGCCAGCCAAAAGUAGAUUCGGCGCCGUGGGCCCGCCGUCCUCCAGCUGAGGAGGAAAGGCAGCUAUCGGCGAGGAAGGGUGGUGGACUGGUGGUGCUAGCGGUGGUGGUGGUGGUGGUGGUGGAGGAUCCCCUCUCACGUCAAGCGCUGUGUGGAAAGCAUAAAGGCGGGAGGAGGAGGAGAGGGCGAAGGCGCAGAGCUUCCCCGCCGCACAAAGCGAAAAGGCUUCAGAAAGAAGAAAGCUUCCGCCUUGGGAGGGAGAGCGAGGCAUCCUGCGUGUGAGCGUGCGAUAAAUAGCGGCUCCAGGUCCAGGCUGAGGGAGAGCGCGUCUCUGGUGCUCUCGCAACCACCGUGCGCUUGCUUUCCUCCUGCUCUACUCCGUUGCACACUUGUACUAGGCCUGGAGGUCCUGUAGCUCGCCUGGUGCUGUGUCGGAGACGGUGGCAAUGGCAUUGCAGGAGCAGGAGGCGGACGGCGACGAGGGCGGGGAGGAAGACGACGAAGGCGAGGAUGAGCGGAUGACGGGAUACGGUGUGGGGGAGCUGAUAUCUGCUUGUCCCGAGGCGUGCUGUCCGCUUGCGGCGGUGUAGGAGUAAGAUAUUGGCGCAAUAGGCUCAAUCAUUUUUUUUUUUGCUUCUCUCUUUCUCUUUUUCCCUUUUCUUCCUUGUUUGAUGUGGCGUGCUUGUUUUUUUUUUUGUUGCCUUUUUUUGUUUCUGAUUGAUGAGACCAAUGUUGAUUAUAUGAUGAAGAGUUGAUUGGUAAGAA
Long non-coding RNA from Zea mays, 1217 nucleotides. RefSeq lists it as uncharacterized. Lineage: Eukaryota; Viridiplantae; Streptophyta; Magnoliopsida; Poales; Poaceae. The transcript has 2 exons. The record is from RefSeq and is a predicted model, not a curated record.